AGUGGAUGGGGAGCAACCUAGUUGUGCGUGUGUAAAGGUAGUGCCAAGAAAAGCGAUGAUCAUGUUGAAAAUCAAUACCCGGUACCCGAAACCGACACAGGUGGGCAAGUAGAGAAUACUAAGGGGCGCGAGGUAACUCUCUCCAAGGAACUCGGCAAAAUGACCCCGUAACUUAGGGAGAAGGGGUGCCACCGAGAGGUGGUCGCAGUGAAGAGGCCCAGGCGACUGUUUAGCAAAAACAUAGGUCUCUGCAAACUCGAAAGAGGAGGUAUAGGGGCUGACGCCUGCCCAGUGCCGGAAGGUUAAAGAAGUUGGUCAGUUUUAGGAUGAAGCUAGCGACUGAAGCCCCGGUGAACGGCGGCCGUAACUAUAACGGUCCUAGGGUAGCGAAAUUCCUUGUCGGGUAAGUUCCGACCCGCACGAAAGGCGUAACGAUCUGGGCGCUCUCGGAGAGAGGCUCGGCGAAAUAGGAUUGUCUGUGAAGAUACGGACUACCUGCAUUUGGACAGAAAGACCCUAUGAAGCUUUACUAUAGCUUGGAAUUGUGUUCGGGCUUCCUGUGCGCAGGAUAGGUGGGAGGCGUAGAAGGUAUUCUUGUGGGGAUACUGGAGCCAACGGUGAGAUACCACUCUCAGGAGGCUAGAAUUCUAACUUAAUUAAGGACAGUUUCAGGUGGGUAGUUUGACUGGGGCGGUCGCCUCCAAAAAGGUAACGGAGGCGUACAAAGGUUCCCUCAGACUGGUUGGAAAUCAGUCGAAGAGUGCAAAGGCAGAAGGGAGCUUGACUGCGAGAAGUACAGUUCGAGCAGGGUGGAAACACGGUCUUAGUGAUCCGACGGUGCUGUGUGGAAGGGCCGUCGCUCAACGGAUAAAAGUUACUCUAGGAUAACAGGCUGAUCUCCCCCAAGAGUUCACAUCGACGGGGAGGUUUGGCACCUCGAUGUCGGCUCAUCGCAACCUGGGGCGGAAGUACGUCCCAAGGGUUGGGCUGUUCGCCCAUUAAAGCGGUACGUGAGCUGGGUUCAGAACGUCGUGAGACAGUUCGGUCCAUACCCGAUGUAGGCGUGAGAAUAUUGAGAGGAGCCUUCCUUAGUACGAGAGGACCGGGAAGGACGCACCGCUGGUGUACCUGUUAUGAUGCCAAUUGUAAACGCAGGGUAGCCAAGUGCGGAGAGGAUAACCGCUGAAAGCAUCUAAGUGGGAAGCCCACCUCAAGAUGAGUAUUCUGGUGUAAGGUCACGGGAAGACGACCCGUAAAUAGGCACGAGGUGGAAGUGCAGAGAUGUAUGAAGCCGAAGUGUACUAAUAGACCGUCGGC
This 1317-nucleotide ribosomal RNA is filed under the name metagenome. RNAcentral's name for it is "bacterial LSU rRNA". It matches the Rfam family "Bacterial large subunit ribosomal RNA", at positions 1561 to 2925 of the family's 2925-position model. The record is from RNAcentral.